GACGAACGCUGGCGGCGCGCCUUACGCAUGCAAGUCGUACGCCGAGCUUCGGCUCGGAGUGGCGGACGGCUGAGUAACGCGUAGGCAACCUAUCCCACAGCGGGGGAUAACCCGUUGAAAGACGGGCUAAUACCAUAUUCGCUCCUGGGGUGAAAUUCCCCUGGAGGAAAGUCGCAAGGCGCUGAGGGAGGGGCCUGCGUCCUAUCAGGUAGUUGGUGAGGUAACGGCUCACCAAGCCGGCGACGGGUAGCUGGUCUGAGAGGACGACCAGCCAGACGGGGACUGAGACACGGCCCCGACUCCUACGGGAGGCAGCAGCGAGGAAUCUUGGGCAAUGGGCGAAAGCCUGACCCAGCGACGCCGCGUGGGGGAAGAAGGCCUUCGGGUCGUAAACCCCUUUUGCCAGGGAAGAAGCUCUGACGGUACCUGGCGAAUAAGCCACGGCUAACUACGUG
RNAcentral lists this ribosomal RNA (455 nucleotides) under uncultured bacterium. Its description in RNAcentral is "bacterial SSU rRNA". It matches the Rfam family "Bacterial small subunit ribosomal RNA", at positions 28 to 507 of the family's 1533-position model. The record is from RNAcentral.